UAUCCAUCUCAGCACUUGUGGAGGAGAGGCAGGAGGAUGACGACUCAUUACAGGUCAGCCUGGGCUACAUCAUGAGUUUGAAGCCAACCGGAGCUAUGUGAGAUCCUGUCUACAGAAGAGAAAGCAUUGAGAAAAGAAUUUUCACAGCUAAGAUAUCAAAAGAAGUGGGGAGGCUAAGGAAGUUUUUGGCUUUAAAAGAUAAAUUCUAGAACAGAGUGAGGCCCUGGCUGACAACUGGAUGCCACCUGACCUUCCAGGUGUUCCAGCACAGGCAGGCUUCUGGAACCCACUUUGUCCAUAGCACGGAAGACCGGAAGUCCCCAGUAAGUAGCAUGCCUGGAG
Molecule: long non-coding RNA, 342 nt
Organism: Jaculus jaculus (lesser Egyptian jerboa)
Lineage: Eukaryota; Metazoa; Chordata; Mammalia; Rodentia; Dipodidae
Exons: 3
Source: RefSeq, a predicted model, not a curated record